UUCACAUAGAGCGUGGAGACGAGUAGAACCGCUCGCACUGCUCCUGAGUAGAACGUAUCCAGAGAAACUAGUCAGCUUUCAACUAGCCUUCAAUGGACUGCAAGCAAGUGUACUCAAUCAUGAUAGAGACAGAGUGGACGUGGAGAUACCGACAGCGGUCGUUUCAAACUGGGAGUGUUUCAAGACGGAUAGCGAGCCCACCGCUAUGCAUUCAAAGUUCAGCGUAAUGCAAUGGAUAAAGAUACUCUACUCUCGACCAUGACAGCAUGUAACAGUUACAUGGAUAGUCACUUGUACAGCUAUGAUCAGCUGACAUCACUUCUAUACCGGUGGAUAGUUCUACUCUGUGAUAAGCGGGUGUUUAAAGUCUCAGCGGCCGCUCAUACACGUUUAUACCAGCAAGGUGUACACUACUGCGAUCGGCAGAGAAGAGUUUUAGAAUGUUUGCAACUGUCUUCACUACUUGGUGCCGUCUCUGAUUGAGGAACAGAGGA
Molecule: long non-coding RNA, 494 nt
Organism: Sycon ciliatum
Lineage: Eukaryota; Metazoa; Porifera; Calcarea; Leucosolenida; Sycettidae
Exons: 3
Source: RefSeq, a predicted model, not a curated record